GGAGCUUGCUCCCGGAUGUUAGCGGCGGACGGGUGAGUAACACGUGGGUAACCUGCCUGUAAGACUGGGAUAACUCCGGGAAACCGGAGCUAAUACCGGAUAGUUCCUUGAACCGCAUGGUUCAAGGAUGAAAGACGGUUUCGGCUGUCACUUACAGAUGGACCCGCGGCGCAUUAGCUAGUUGGUGGGGUAAUGGCUCACCAAGGCGACGAUGCGUAGCCGACCUGAGAGGGUGAUCGGCCACACUGGGACUGAGACACGGCCCAGACUCCUACGGGAGGCAGCAGUAGGGAAUCUUCCGCAAUGGACGAAAGUCUGACGGAGCAACGCCGCGUGAGUGAUGAAGGUUUUCGGAUCGUAAAGCUCUGUUGUUAGGGAAGAACAAGUGCGAGAGUAACUGCUCGCACCUUGACGGUACCUAACCAGAAAGCCACGGCUAACUACGUGCCAGCAGCCGCGGUAAUACGUAGGUGGCAAGCGUUGUCCGGAAUUAUUGGGCGUAAAGGGCUCGCAGGCGGUUUCUUAAGUCUGAUGUGAAAGCCCCCGGCUCAACCGGGGAGGGUCAUUGGAAACUGGGAAACUUGAGUGCAGAAGAGGAGAGUGGAAUUCCACGUGUAGCGGUGAAAUGCGUAGAGAUGUGGAGGAACACCAGUGGCGAAGGCGACUCUCUGGUCUGUAACUGACGCUGAGGAGCGAAAGCGUGGGGAGCGAACAGGAUUA
Molecule: ribosomal RNA, 720 nt
Filed under: Bacillus zhangzhouensis
Lineage: Bacteria; Bacillati; Bacillota; Bacilli; Caryophanales; Bacillaceae
Description: bacterial SSU rRNA
Rfam family: Bacterial small subunit ribosomal RNA
Source: RNAcentral